ACGAAUGGAGCAAGCGUUGUUCGGAAUUACUGGGCAUAAAGGGUGCGUAGGCGGCUUGAUAAGUCGAGGGUGAAAUCCGGUGGCCCAACCAUCGAACUGCCCUUGAUACUGUUGAGCUUGAGUGCGUGAGGGGAGACUGGAACGAGUGGUGUAGCGGUGAAAUGCGUAGAUAUCACUCGGAACGCCAACGGCGAAGGCAGGUCUCUGGUGCGCAACUGACGCUGAGGCACGAAAGCGUGGGGAGCAAACAGGAUUAGAUACCCUGGUAGUCCACGCCGUAAACGAUGAGCACUAGAUUGCUGGCGAGCUAUUCGUUGGCAGUCGCAGACAAUUUGUUAAGUGCUCCGCCUGGGGAGUAUGGUCGCAAGGCUG
RNAcentral lists this ribosomal RNA (372 nucleotides) under uncultured bacterium. RNAcentral's name for it is "bacterial SSU rRNA". It matches the Rfam family "Bacterial small subunit ribosomal RNA", at positions 525 to 896 of the family's 1533-position model. The record is from RNAcentral.